Molecule: long non-coding RNA, 553 nt
Filed under: Rattus norvegicus (Norway rat)
Lineage: Eukaryota; Metazoa; Chordata; Mammalia; Rodentia; Muridae
Description: long non-coding RNA NONRATT021912
Source: RNAcentral
AUCAUAAUUAUCAGGUCUCCUGGCUGACGGUACCACUGUUCUGUCACCACACUUUAACGUUUUGCCAAGAAGUUUUGCCUCCUUCAUGUUCCCGAUUUUGUACAUGCAAUCAGUUGGCAAACCUGUCGAUUCUCACUCUAGAGGUUUUUUUUGGCCUCCAUUUCUCCUCCUGGCUCUUUCCCCCAUUGGUGAUGUCUGUGUUGUGUAUCAUUGUUCUGAGAAUUUAUACUUCCCUUCACUCUCACAGCUUGCAUGUCCUAACUAUAGCUAGUGCACAUCACCCCAAACCCCAGAAACAAAUUUAACGAUCUUCCUUAGCAGAGGUUUUCCAACAGGCACGACUGAGGGUCACGUCCCCUUGUGUUGUCCUUGUGUUGUUGACAGGACAGUUAAAUUACAAACUUGUCCCUUAUUCUUUAGCCACCUAGGUUGUCUUGUAUCUUCAACUAUUCUUUUCCCAAAAUUCCCUGCUCCCAACUUUCUUCUCCCAACUCUCUUGCACAAUCCACUUCUCACAUCUAAGUCUUCAAAGACAAUGACAAACAAUCACGGC